AUGCCAUUGUUUGUUACAUGCUCUGUGGUCAUAAUAUUGUGCGUCAUGUAUGCGUGCGCAAAAACAGGAUAAUGCUCAGCAAUUUCUGCGACUUAAACCUCAAGAGGUUAGCGUCGCAGCGCUGAUUUUCAGCAUCUCCUUGGGUGACGUAAUGGCGUCCCGCCAGCUCCACUAAUCGCCAGCGAACAAGAAUGCAAAACAACAAAACAACGAAAAGAUCAAGUAGCCGGCAUGACCUGUAAAAUACAGAUAUACCUAUAUUGACCAUAAAUGAUGGGGGAGGCUGCAGCUACGAACAACAACCUGUUGGAUACCUGUGCAUCACCAUGUUGGAAGGCCGCGACCCUUGAGGCCUCGCAUUGGUGGUGGCAGGUUGUUCCAACAGUGAGUCGCAGCAUAUUUGAAGCUCCCCCUGAAGGCCGCUGUUCUGUGCUGAGGGAUGGAUAGUGGAUUUGUAGUUGAGCGUAUGUGGUUUAUUGAACUAUGCUGUCUCCACUGUAAUUUCUCAUACAGGUACCGUGGCUUUUGGGUAGUAAUAACUCCAAACAAUAGGCCUGCCAGGUGCAAACGUCUCCGAGCUUCCAUUUUUAAAAUAUUGUUUCGAUUCGCAAAAGGGGUGACAUGGCUUCUUCGUGGUAUGUCCACACAGUAUCUUAUGCAAGCAUUUUGAACACGCUGCACCAAUCUGUUUGUUUUUGCUAGCAA
Molecule: long non-coding RNA, 705 nt
Organism: Spodoptera litura
Lineage: Eukaryota; Metazoa; Arthropoda; Insecta; Lepidoptera; Noctuidae
Source: RefSeq, a predicted model, not a curated record